This 250-nucleotide ribosomal RNA is filed under the name uncultured bacterium. Its description in RNAcentral is "partial 16S ribosomal RNA". It matches the Rfam family "Bacterial small subunit ribosomal RNA", at positions 524 to 772 of the family's 1533-position model. The record is from RNAcentral.
UACGUAGGGGGCAAGCGUUGUCCGGAUUCAUUGGGCGUAAAGAGCUCGUAGGCGGUUCAGUAAGUCGGGUGUGAAAGCUCCGAGCUCAACUCGGAGAGGCCACCCGAUACUGCUGUGACUUGAGUCCAGUAGAGGAGCGUGGAACUCCUGGUGUAGCGGUGGAAUGCGCAGAUAUCAGGAAGAACACCUGCAGCGAAGGCGGCGCUCUGGGCUGGAACUGACGCUGAGGAGCGAAAGCGUGGGUAGCAAA